CCUACGGGAGGCAGCAGUGGGGAAUAUUGCACAAUGGGGGAAACCCUGAUGCAGCGACGCCGCGUGAGUGAAGAAGUAAUUCGUUAUGUAAAGCUCUAUCAGCAGGGAAGAAAAUGACGGUACCUGAGUAAGAAGCCCCGGCUAACUACGUGCCAGCAGCCGCGGUAAUACGUAGGUGGCAAGCGUUAUCCGGAUUUACUGGGUGUAAAGGGAGCGUAGACGGCAGUGCAAGUCUGGAGUGAAAGGCUGGGGCUCAACCCCCGGACUGCUCUGGAAACUGUACGGCUGGAGUGCAGGAGAGGUAAGUGGAAUUCCUAGUGUAGCGGUGAAAUGCGUAGAUAUUAGGAGGAACACCAGUGGCGAAGGCGGCUUACUGGACUGUAACUGACGUUGAGGCUCGAAAGCGUGGGGAGCAAACAGGAUUAGAUACCCCAGUAGUC
RNAcentral lists this ribosomal RNA (440 nucleotides) under uncultured bacterium. RNAcentral's name for it is "partial 16S ribosomal RNA". It matches the Rfam family "Bacterial small subunit ribosomal RNA", at positions 338 to 795 of the family's 1533-position model. The record is from RNAcentral.